RNAcentral lists this unclassified non-coding RNA (269 nucleotides) under plant metagenome. Its description in RNAcentral is "partial contains small subunit ribosomal RNA, internal transcribed spacer 1, and 5.8S ribosomal RNA". The record is from RNAcentral.
UUUCCGUAGGUGAACCUGCGGAAGGAUCAUUAAUGAGUUGUCAUGGGGUUCGAUGCUGGCAGCCAAUUUUUGGAUGCAUGUGCUUGCCCUAACAAUCAUCUUCCAAACACCUGUGCACAUUUUUGAGGGAGUCUUGAGUUGGUUGCCGCUCUUGGGUGAUUUUCUCACAUUCCCUUAAAUCAUUAUACGCUAUUAACAAUGUUGAACGUGCUCUGUGCCGCAAGGCUAUUAAUAUGAUACAACUUUUAACAACGGAUCUCUUGGCUCUC